AACGAACGCUGGCGGCAUGCCUAACACAUGCAAGUCGAACGAGACCUUCGGGUCUAGUGGCGCACGGGUGCGUAACGCGUGGGAACCUGCCCUUAGGUUCGGAAUAACUCCCCGAAAGGGGUGCUAAUACCGGAUAAUGUCUUCGGACCAAAGAGUUAUCGCCUUUGGAUGGGCCCGCGUUGUAUUAGCUAGUUGGUAGGGUAAAAGCCUACCAAGGCGACGAUCCAUAGCUGGUCUGAGAGGAUGAUCAGCCACACUGGGACUGAGACACGGCCCAGACUCCUACGGGAGGCAGCAGUGGGGAAUAUUGGACAAUGGGCGAAAGCCUGAUCCAGCAAUGCCGCGUGAGCGAUGAAGGCCUUAGGGUUGUAAAGCUCUUUUACCCGGGAUGAUAAUGACGGUACCGGGAGAAUAAGCACCGGCUAACUCCGUG
Molecule: ribosomal RNA, 433 nt
Filed under: uncultured bacterium
Lineage: Bacteria
Description: partial 16S ribosomal RNA
Rfam family: Bacterial small subunit ribosomal RNA
Source: RNAcentral